UACGUAGGUGGCAAGCGUUGUCCGGAAUUAUUGGGCGUAAAGCGCGCGCAGGCGGCCGCGUAAGUCUGAUGUGAAAGCCCGGGGCUCAACCCCGGUGUGCAUUGGAAACUGUGCGGCUUGAGUGCAGGAGAGGAAAGCGGAAUUCCACGUGGAGCGGUGAAAUGCGUAGAGAUGUGGAGGAACACCAGUGGCGAAGGCGGCUUUCUGGCCUGUAACUGACGCUGAGGCGCGAAAGCGUGGGGAGCAAACA
This 250-nucleotide ribosomal RNA is filed under the name uncultured bacterium. RNAcentral describes it as "partial 16S ribosomal RNA". It matches the Rfam family "Bacterial small subunit ribosomal RNA", at positions 524 to 774 of the family's 1533-position model. The record is from RNAcentral.